RNAcentral lists this ribosomal RNA (614 nucleotides) under uncultured bacterium. RNAcentral's name for it is "bacterial SSU rRNA". It matches the Rfam family "Bacterial small subunit ribosomal RNA", at positions 28 to 635 of the family's 1533-position model. The record is from RNAcentral.
AUUGAACGCUGGCGGCGUGCUUAACACAUGCAAGUCGAGCGGUAACAGGCGUAGCAAUACGUGCUGACGAGCGGCGAACGGGUGAGUAAUGCUUCGGAAUCUUCCUCGUAGUGGGGAAUAACCUGGGGAAACUCAGGCUAAUACCGCAUACGAACUACGGUUGAAAGCAGGGGAUCGCAAGACCUUGCGCUAUGAGAUGAGCCGAAGUCGGAUUAGCUAGUUGGUGAGGUAACGGCUCACCAAGGCGACGAUCCGUAACUGGUCUGAGAGGACGACCAGCCACACUGGGACUGAGACACGGCCCAGACUCCUACGGGAGGCAGCAGUGGGGAAUAUUGGACAAUGGGCGAAAGCCUGAUCCAGCGACGCCGCGUGUGUGAAGAAGGCCUGCGGGUUGUAAAGCACUUUUAGUGGGGAUGAAAAGCCGAAGGCUAAUACCUUUCGGUCUUGACCUAACCCAAAGAAAAAGCACCGGCUAACUCUGUGCCAGCAGCCGCGGUAAUACAGAGGGUGCAAGCGUUAAUCGGAAUUACUGGGCGUAAAGCGUGCGUAGUCGGUUAUUCAAGUCGGGUGUGAAAGCCCCGGGCUCAACCUGGGAAUUGCAUUCGAUACUG